CAGCCCUGAAACAAGCUGUGGAGUGUGUCGACUAAACCCUGAUCUCAGUUUAACAGUUAAACAGCAUUUUAUUACAUCUCAGUCCUCGGAUUUAUCACCUCAACAGUUGGUGAAUGAUCAACAGUUCCUCUUUCACUUUAAACUUGUGUCCGUGAAGCUCUAUAAAAGCAGCAGAACCAUCAUCUCUGCAGCUCAGUGAGGAACAAACAGCUCGACUAGACCAACUCAGACCUGGUGUCCCUUCUCUGACACUCAGACCAUGGCUUUCUUUGCUGCUCUUGGCUGUAAAGCACUGGCACCUGUUGUUGUACCAGCUGUUGGAGGAUUAGCUGUAGGACUGCUUGCAGCUGCUGGCCUGAGUCGCCCAAGAAAACUGAGCGUCAAACGUGGCACCCCAUGGACGACUGCGACUGUGAGACACACUGACACAGAUGACGAACUGUGCUUAUAUGAGAUCACUGAAAGAGACGACACAGAGACUCAAAGUGAGCAAAAUGAAGAGAGUGGAGGUGGACACCAGGGAGAAGGGGGUCAGGGAGGUGGACACCAGGGAGAAGGGGGUCAGGGAGGUGGACACCAGGGAGGAGGGGGUCAGGGAGGUGGACACCAGGGAGGAGGGGGUCAGGGAGGUGGACACCAGGGAGGAGGGGGUCAGGGAGGUGGACACCAGGGAGAAGGGGGUCAGGGAGGUGGACACCAGGGAGGAGGGGGUCAGGGAGAGAAAGAAAGUGAUCAGGUGAGUGAAAGUGAAGAAGAGACAGAUGAUAAAAACAAGAAGAGUGGUAGAAUUCAAAAGACGAAGCGUCAGGGUCGUCGCUCUGGUCAGAAGCAGCAAAGCGUCAGCAGCAUUAACAUCAAAAGCAGCCGAGAGCCUGAAACCAACCACGACCUUCCUGCGAUGAUAUUGAUGGGUUUGCUCAACGUGAGGUCGCUGAAUAACAAAAUACUCAGAAUCUUAAAGCUGAUACUGAAACACAGACUGCAUGUUUUUUGCACCACAGAGACGUGGUUAAAAGACGACACGGGAGACACUGUACUCAGGAGAGCAUCACCAGAGGAUUACAGAUUCUGUUACCAGGCAAGGCUGACUAGAGGCGGGGGGGCAGCCAUUCAGGUCUCCCCAGUGCUGCAGAGUGUCCAGAUUCUGUUUAACUGUGAAACAACAACCUUCGAAGUUGCUGCCACAGUCCUGCAACAUCCAGACUGGGGCGAACCUGUGCUGGUCAUCAGCCUGUAUCGUCGCGGGUCCACUGGGGCCAAAUUCCACAAAUUUCUGGAUGAGUUUCAAGAGGUUUUGUGUGAGAUUUUUAAUCUCUGCAACAAUGUCAUUGUGACUGGAGAUUUCAACGUCUGGGUGGAUAAUCUGAGGAGAGGAAGAAAGUUUAGGUGUUUGUUGCAGGCAUAUGAGCUCGAUCAGCAGGUGAAGGUGCCAACAACCCACAGAGGUCACACUCUGGAUCUGGUCAUCACUCGAAAUGUGGAAAUCUCUGGUCUCUUUGUCCAAAAUGAUGGAAUAUCAGAUCACUACAGCGUCUAUUUCAGUGCUAGACCAGGGCCAAAAAACAAAAGGCAGAAAACUGAAGUAAAGAAGGAGGAAGCUGAGAACAAAGAAAAACACAAGAAGAAGAAGAAAGACUAAAAAAUAUGUAGAGUUUGACAAUAUAUAAACAAAGAAUACUAAUACGAUUCCAAUUAGUUUGAAAGGAUUCAAAAUGUUGGACUUACAUGGAAAAACAUCUCACACAUUUUAUGUCUUUACUUAUUAUCGUUAAAUUAAUUAUAAUAACACUGUUAUUUUAUUCAAAUUUUUCCUCUUUCAAUGAGACAGAUUUGAUGGAAAAUGAAGCAUAAACAAAGAAAACCUUAAAGAAAUUUAAAGAUGUGACCUGAGUCUGAGAAACACUGACGACCUAAAACGUCUGAUGUUACUUUAAACAGCAACUGAAAUCAUGAGCAUUGAUGUGUUCAACUCAGACAGCAGAGGUUUCUUCUUUUUGACCGUGAAUUUUGAAAUGCAUUGCAUCUCAGAACAAUCACAGUGUUUUCAUCUAUAUUUAAGAUUAGUUGAAGUUGAAAUUGUUUAUUUUAAAUUCAUUUAGUUUUGCUUGUGUGGCUGAUGGAGGGACCUCGUGAUUUGAGGCUUUGCUGCCUCAGGAACUCAUCAUGAAGGGAAAAUGAAUUUCCAGGUGUAUCCAGGUAUCAGAGUAUCUGUCUGUGAGCUGAAGCUGAGAAGAAGCUGAACAAGGACCCUAAACAUCACACUGGUCUACUAAAGAACAGCUCCAAACACUUAUGUUCACUGUGACCCAUGUACUAAGAUGGACCUCUUAGUCAUAUGUCAGUGGAGUUCUCUUUGUUCCUGCUCUCUUUCAGGGUCACAGCCUCCCACUUAUAUGAAGAGGUUUAUAUGUUUGUUCACUUCCCUCUGCAGACUGUCGGUCUUUCUUUGCAAGGAAGUCAAUUCACAAAAGACAGAUGUGUCGCUGAUGUUCCUGUUGACUUUUAAUAAAUGACAUAAUUCUGUUCAACAUUUAGUGUGAACUGUCUCUUUGUCAGGAUCAUGAAAGUCAUUCUAUAUUUGUCAAUGAGUGUCUCUGUGAUUUCAGUCUGGUGAAACACCAAAGUGUCAAAGACGACCUGUUGGUGAGAUGAAACAUUUAUUUUAUCUCUGUGUCAGUUACAGUACUGAGGUUUGAGAAGGGGUUGAAUCAGAUACGUGCUGUCUGACAUGUCCUGAUUACAGCUGUUUACGGUUUACAGGAACUCACAGGUUUUAAUAACAGUCCAUGAGAUCAGUGGGAGUUCGG
Anabas testudineus (climbing perch) is the source of this 2807-nucleotide long non-coding RNA. The record is from Ensembl. NCBI's taxonomy places the organism in Eukaryota, Metazoa, Chordata, Actinopteri, Anabantiformes, Anabantidae.